CCACCCCUAGGCACCCCCUCAAACUAAGUAGUCUUUAGUUUCAAGAGACUUCUUCGUCUCCUGUAUCUUACAGAUCGAUCGAUCGAUAAAAUUCUGCAAUUUCUCCUUGUUCAUGAUAAAUUUUCAGAUCUGAGAAUCGAAAUUUUCUAGGGUAAAACAAUGGAGGAUUCGAAACGGAAGAUUUGGACUGUGUGGAAAAUAGAGUGCAAACGAUGUAAUAAGGAGGUUCGAUCCAAUUACGAUCUACGUCCCCCAUUACCAAGCUCUCCAUCACUAGCAAUGCCUUUUUCACUAUCUUUGAUUGACUUAUGGUGCAAUCCAACCCUUACAAUGCUUUUGGUGACUUACAAUUAAGGAGCACCGAUCCUUUUACACAUUGAGCUUUACGGGACCUCAACACGACCCACAAUUCAAUGAACAAGAAAAUCAAGGUUACACUUGAAAAGCUUCUCUCUUAACAAAUGAUAUGAAUACAACGAAGUAUUAAGAGAGAGGUAGGCACAACGCCUCAAUAAAUCACAAAAAAUAUAACUCAAGUUGUUCUGCGAAAGAUUUUUAUCGAGAUAUAUGAUUUUUUACAAAGUUACUUACUCAAAAUUUUUUUUCAACAAAUAAAUAUUUUGACCUUUUAAAAAUUGAGAAAUAAGGUACAUAAGAUUAAUAAGUAACUCUCUUUAAUGCUCUAAAAAAUCACUCUUUAAGGAAGUAAAAAGAAAGGUAUUUAUAGCCAUCAAUCGGGAGAUCCAGACACUUGAUUCGGACGUCCUCUUGGUAUCCGGACGUGAAACUAGCCAUUUGUCAAAUAGUUAAAAAAUUUGACCGUUGGACAUCUCAUCCUGACGUCCGGACGACCCUAUCCGGACAUCCGGAUGGCCUUUUAUUUUCCCACCAAGCUUUUUCCUUUUUAUUAAAGAAAGUUUCUUUAAGGUAUUUUAACGGAUUUCUUAUAUACUUUUUAUAGUUAAGUAAUUUCAUAAAGGUUUGAUUUGUGAAAAUUAAAUUACUUAUCUUUUGAAAAAUAAUUUUUAUGCAAGUAAAGUUUGUUAUAAUAAUUCCUGCGCAUAAAGGUUGUUUGAGCUAUGAUCGAAGCGAAAUAUUAAAGUGUUUUACCUUUACACUUAAGUAUACAAAUGCAUCUAUAGCUAAUGUCUUCAAUUUUUUCAUCCAAUGCAAUUUGGUGUGUGAGAGCUCGAUUUUCAUUUCCUUGUUCGUAAAUCUUGUCUGUAUAUCAUUUUGCACUAAGGUUACAUGAUUCUCGAACUAAAUUUUUCGUGUCAUAAAUUUGCAAUAAUCACCGUCAAUCACUUAAAUUCAAUUUGUUAGAAUUAAACGCAAUUUAUUUGUAAUAAUCAAAAUAAGAAAUCAACCAUUAGGUCAACAUUAGGUAAUAUUGAUGAAGCUACCGCGAAGACUAUGAAAUUAGAAAUGGAGAACAAUUUGAAGAAAUGACUUUAGUUUUUUGUGUAUUGACCCCUAACCGAAUUGUUUGGGAUUCAAAAGUGAAAGAAAUCAUUUUAUAUACUAAAAGUGGUCAAAUUGGCGUAUUAUCAAAUCAUGCCUCUAUUGCUACAGCUGUAGAUAUUGAGAUUUUGAGAAUACGCUUCAAGGACCAAUGGUUAAUGAUGGCUCUGAUGGGUGGUUUUGCUAAAAUAGUAAAUAAUGAGAUCAUCUUGAGCUAGCACAAAAAAAAAAAGCAAGAAAAUCGCUUUUUAAUGUCAAUGAUCAGUACCAGUAAAUAAAAUAUAAUGGAAGAAAGAACCCUAUUCACUAUCUAAGCAAAUUGGCCAAAGUUGUGCGUUCAUGAGCCCAUGCUAAACUUCCAGGAACAUUUCAUUUCACAUAUUUCUCUUCAAAAAUGAAAAAUGCGUAUUUUUCUUUAAUUUUCGAACUAAAAUGUAUGUAAAUCAAAUGAAAGUAAGCGGGUCAACCCGCAAGACCGAUCAAUAUCCACGGACCUUUCCCUUCUCUUUGUUCCCACGCUAAGCUUGUAAUCACAACAAACGUGGCAAACUCCUAUUGGCCUACUUCACGUGGCGUGAAAUAUUAUUGGCUGAAGCAACUCGACGCACAGUUCCCCAGAUUUAUGGUGUAUAAUAAUAUGUUUACACAGAUAUAUAAAUAAUUAAUAUCACCCCACCCCUACGCACCCCCUCAAACUAAGUAGUCUUUAGUUUCAAGAGACUUCUUCGUCUCCUGUACGCUCUUACAGAUCGAUCGAUCGAUAAAAUUCUGCAUUUUCUCCUCGUUCAUGAUAAAUUUUCAGAUCUGAGAAUCGAAAUUUUCUAGGGUAAAACAAUGGAGGAUUCGAAACGGAAGAUUUGGACUGUGCAGUGUGUCUUGCUUUUGUUGAUCGGUUUAUGCAUUUCUCAGCUCUACGCUUCCGACGAUGUGGUAAGACGCUGUCUAUUUGUACGGAAAAGUGUAGUUUGGCUGAAUACAAAAAUUAGUUUCAUCAACUUGCGUAUGGGUAGGCAGCUGCAAUAACAUGGGAUCUGAUUUAGAUUAUUUGCCAUUUUCUGGAUCUGUGGUCUUUAU
This 2535-nucleotide long non-coding RNA is filed under the name Olea europaea (common olive). RNAcentral's name for it is "long non-coding RNA (OEUR_LNC015280)". The record is from RNAcentral. Lineage: Eukaryota; Viridiplantae; Streptophyta; Magnoliopsida; Lamiales; Oleaceae.